GACGUAGGGAGCGAGCGUUGUCCGGAUUUAUUGGGCGUAAAGAGCUCGUAGGCGGCUUAGCAAGUCGGGUGUGAAACCCCCAGGCUUAACCUGGGGACGCCACUCGAUACUGCUAUGGCUUGAGUCCGGUAGGGGCGCGUGGAAUACCCGGUGUAGCGGUGAAAUGCUUAGAUAUCGGGUGGAACACCAGUAGCGAAGGCGGUGCGCUGGGCCGGAACUGACGCUGAGGAGCGAAAGCGUGGGUAGCAAACAGG
This 254-nucleotide ribosomal RNA is filed under the name uncultured bacterium. Its description in RNAcentral is "partial 16S ribosomal RNA". It matches the Rfam family "Bacterial small subunit ribosomal RNA", at positions 524 to 776 of the family's 1533-position model. The record is from RNAcentral.